This 420-nucleotide ribosomal RNA is filed under the name uncultured bacterium. RNAcentral describes it as "bacterial SSU rRNA". It matches the Rfam family "Bacterial small subunit ribosomal RNA", at positions 355 to 774 of the family's 1533-position model. The record is from RNAcentral.
UAAGGAAUAUUGCUCAAUGGGAGAAAUCCUGAAGCAGCAACGCCGCGUGGAGGAUGAAGGGUCUAUGACUUGUAAACUCCUGUAAAGAAGGAAAAAAUUCCCAUUUGAUGGGAGAUGAUGGUACUUCUGGAGUAAGCCCCGGCUAACUACGUGCCAGCAGCCGCGGUAAUACGUAGGGGGCGAGCGUUGUCCGGAUUUACUGGGUGUAAAGGGUGCUCAGGCGGAUUUGUAAGUCAGAGGUGAAAUCUUACAGCUUAACUGUGAAACUGCCUUUGAUACUGCAAGCCUAGAGUAUGGAAGAGAGUGAUGGAAUAUCUGGUGUAGCAGUGAAAUGCGUAGAUAUCAGAUAGAACACCAAUGGCGAAGGCAGUCACUUGGUCCAUUACUGACGCUAAAGCACGAAAGCGUGGGUAGCAAACA